This 455-nucleotide ribosomal RNA is filed under the name uncultured bacterium. Its description in RNAcentral is "bacterial SSU rRNA". It matches the Rfam family "Bacterial small subunit ribosomal RNA", at positions 28 to 524 of the family's 1533-position model. The record is from RNAcentral.
GAUGAACGCUGGCGGUAUGCAUAACACAUGCAAGUCGUACGAGAAUCUUCGGAUUCUAGUGGCGGACGGGUGAGUAACACGUGAGAAUUUACCCUUAGGAGAAGGAUAACAGAUGGAAACGUCUGCUAAUACUUCAUAUUGCUGAAGAGUGAAAUGGGAAACCGCCUAAGGAAAAGCUCGCGCCUGAUUAGCUAGUUGGUAAGGUAAUGGCUUACCAAGGCUACGAUCAGUAGCUGGUUUGAGAGGAUGAUCAGCCACACUGGGACUGAGAUACGGCCCAGACUCCUACGGGAGGCAGCAGUGGGGAAUUUUCCGCAAUGGGCGCAAGCCUGACGGAGCAAUACCGCGUGAGGGAUGACAGUAAAUAAAUUGUAAACCUCUUUUUUCAGGGAAGAAGAUAUGACGCGAACUGAAGAAUAAGCAUCGGCUAACUCCGUGCCAGCAGCCGCGGUAAU